Molecule: ribosomal RNA, 1478 nt
Filed under: metagenome
Description: bacterial SSU rRNA
Rfam family: Bacterial small subunit ribosomal RNA
Source: RNAcentral
AGAGUUUGAUCCUGGCUCAGAAUGAACGCUGGUGGUAUGCUUUAUACAUGCAAGUCGAACGAGAAAACCCUUUCGGGGGUAAGUAAAGUGGCAGACGGGUGAGUAAUGUAUGGGAAUCUGCCCAGUAGUAAGGAAUAAGCCUUGGAAACGAGGUCUAAUACCGUAUAAUACCGAUUUAUCGGGAAAGGCUCAGUUCUUCGGAAUUGCGUCGCUAUUGGAGGAGCCCAUAUCGGAUUAGUUUGUUGGCGGGGUAAUGGCCCACCAAGACUGGGAUCCGUAGCUGGUCUGAGAGGAUGAUCAGCCACACUGGAACUUAGACACGGUCCAGACUCCUACGGGAGGCAGCAGUAGGGAAUAUUAGACAAUGGGCGAAAGCCUGAUCUAGCAAUACCACGUGAAUGAUGAAGGCCUUCGGGUUGUAAAGUUCUUUUAACAGGGAAGAUAAUGACGGUACCUGUAGAAAAAGCACCGGCUAACUCCGUGCCAGCAGCCGCGGUAAGACGGAGGGUGCUAGCGUUAUUCGGAAUUAUUGGGCGUAAAGCGUGCGUAGGCGGUUUAGUAAGUUGGUUAUGAAAUCCCGGGGCUCAACCUCGGAACUGUAAUCAAAACUGCUAGGCUAGAGGAUGGUAUGCGGUGACGGAAUUUCUAGUGUAGGGGUGAAAUCCGUAGAUAUUAGAAAGAACACCGGAGGCGAAGGCGGUUACCUAGACCAUAUCUGACGCUAAGGCACGAAGGCGUGGGGAGCAAACAGGAUUAGAUACCCUGGUAGUCCACGCAGUAAACGAUGAGCGCUAGGUGUCUGACUCUUAGAGUUGGGUGCCAAAGCUAACGCGUUAAGCGCUCCGCCUGGGAAGUACGAUCGCAAGAUUAAAACUCAAAGGAAUUGACGGGGACCCGCACAAGCGGUGGAGCAUGUGGUUUAAUUCGAUGCUACGCGAAAAACCUUACCAACCCUUGACAUCCCGAUUCUGGGGGACAGAGAUGACCCCCUUCAGUUCGGCUGGAUCGGUGACAGGUGUUGCAUGGCUGUCGUCAGCUCGUGCCGUGAGGUGUUAGGUUAAGUCCUUUAACGAGCGCAACCCCUACUCUUAUUUACUAACAGGUUAUGCUGAGGACUAUAAGAGGACUGCCAGUGAUAAACUGGAGGAAGGUGGGGACGAGGUCAAGUCAUCAUGGCCCUUAUGGGUUGGGCUACACACAUGCUACAAUGGAAAUUACAACGGGAUGCGAAAGAGCGAUCUGGAGCCAAACCUUUAAAAAUUUUCUCAGUUCGGAUUGCAGGCUGCAACUCGCCUGCAUGAAGUUGGAAUCGCUAGUAAUCGUGGAUCAGCACGCCACGGUGAAUACGUUCUCGGGUCUUGUACACACUGCCCGUCGAGCCAUGGGAGUUGUCUCUACCCGAAUUUGGUGAGCUAACCUGCAAAGGAGGCAGCUAAACACGGUAGGGGGAGCGACUGGGGUUAAGUCGUAACAAGGUA